AGAGUUUGAUCCUGGCUCAGCGCGAACGCUGGCGGCGUGCCUAACACAUGCAAGUCGUGCGCAGGGUCGGCCCCUUUUGGGGCCGGCCGCUGAGCGGCAAACGGGUGAGUAACACGUGGGUAACCUACCCCCAGGAGGGGGAUAACCCCGGGAAACCGGGGCUAAUACCCCAUAAUGCCACCCGCCACUAAGGCGCGGUGGCCAAAGGGGGCCUCUGGCCUUCGGCCACGCUCCCGCCUGGGGAUGGGCCCGCGGCCCAUCAGGUAGUUGGUGGGGUAACGGCCCACCAAGCCUAUGACGGGUAGCCGGCCUGAGAGGGUGGCCGGCCACAGCGGGACUGAGACACGGCCCGCACCCCUACGGGGGGCAGCAGUGGGGAAUCGUGGGCAAUGGGCGAAAGCCUGACCCCGCGACGCCGCGUGGGGGAUGAAGCCCUGCGGGGUGUAAACCCCUGUCGGGGGGGACGAUGCGGACUCGGGUUAAUAGCCCGUGUCCGUGACGGUACCCCGGCCGGAA
RNAcentral lists this ribosomal RNA (516 nucleotides) under unidentified archaeon. RNAcentral describes it as "bacterial SSU rRNA". It matches the Rfam family "Bacterial small subunit ribosomal RNA", at positions 8 to 489 of the family's 1533-position model. The record is from RNAcentral.